GUGAGUCAUCGAGUCUUUGAACGCACCUUGUUGCUCCUUGGUAUUCCGAGGAGCAUGCCUGUUUGAGUGUCAUUAAUAUAUAUAUCAAACCUUCUCUUGUUGAGUGGUUUGGAUGUGGGGGCUUGCUGGCCUGUUGAAGGGUUCAGCUCUCCUGAAAUGCAUUAGCAGAACAAACCUGUUCAUUGGUGUGAUAAAUUAUCUACGCUAUUGAAUGUGAGGUACAGUUCAGCUUUCUUAACAGUCCUUGGACAAUUUUUUCAUUAAUGUGACCUCAAAUCAGGUAGGACUACCCACUGAACUUAAGCAUAUCAAUAAGGCGAGG
Molecule: ribosomal RNA, 322 nt
Filed under: uncultured fungus
Lineage: Eukaryota; Fungi
Description: eukaryotic LSU rRNA
Rfam family: 5.8S ribosomal RNA (bases 1-72)
Source: RNAcentral